RNAcentral lists this transfer RNA (65 nucleotides) under Melibe leonina. Its description in RNAcentral is "tRNA-Gly". The record is from RNAcentral. Lineage: Eukaryota; Metazoa; Mollusca; Gastropoda; Nudibranchia; Dendronotidae.
CUCUGAUGAGUAUUAUCUGUACAGUUACCUUCCAAGUAGAAAGUUUGGUUAGACCAGAUCAGAGA